AGCCCUAGCCUCCUGUAGCUUAGGAACAGUGCAAAACAGUGGCCUUUAGUUCCCUUUCAAUUCCCUUUCAAGCGAUUUUAUUCGAUUACACAUCUCUGCAUCUGAACCAAAUUUCAACUUUUUUACUUCUUUAAUGUCAAUCUCUCCUUCUCUGAUGUCAAUCUCUCCUUCUCUUCCUGGUUUUGUAUCUUCUCAUCUACAGUUAUUGACCACCACGUUCUCUGUUUCCUUUCCUUGGCACAUGAUCCGUCCUCUCUCAGAUUACACAUGAACGCAUCUCUUCGUCCAUCGCCUCCUUGAGAAAUUUGUCGCCGAGCCGAACCAGUUUUGAGAGAUUUCAAGGGAAGAAAUCUACCAUCGGGAAGAAAUUCUAAGCACCCGUUCAAUCAACUUCUAGCCUGUGCGUUUCUGUUUUCGUCCAUGAGUUGAGUCGUGAAAACCUAGCCGUUAGACUCCACUUGCGGCUGCUCCAUGCAUGGAAGCUUGGUGACCCAUCAAAAGCUGAUGGCUUUUUUGGCUUGGCACCCAUUGGAUUGAUGCCCAGGUAUGCUUUAGUUCCCUCACACCUUCACUUGCAAAUUUCAUGGUGUUUUGGUUUGGUUCUGUGCUCAUAUUUCUAUUUCACCCUGCUAUACCUUGAAUGCUAGUUUAAUUUAGCCAAUAUUUGUAUGGUUGCAGGUUGUAUACAUUAACCUGCAUUUGCUUUGUUAUUCAGUCAUCAUUUUCACCAAAGUUUCAAUUUAAUGCAUACCUGGAAAAAAUGCUUGGCAAUGUGAAGAUAUGCUAGAUAUAUGAGUGAGAGAAUGGCUUUGUUUGAAUUAAGGGAUUUUGAUCAAAGCCAUGAUGUAAGAUUUUGGUUUCACGGUUUGAUUAUUUGUGUUGUUGAUUGCUGAAAUUGCAUGAAAUUGCAUGAAAUUAUGUUUUCAGGGGAUGUUUUAUUGACCUUUAAUGAUGCUUCUACUGGAUUUCAUCAUCUAACCAUUUCUCUGCUUGCCUGCUUGCUAUUUAGUUUUUUAUAGUCUUUCUAUAUUGUAAUCUUUUAUGUAUUUGUUUAUCAUUUCUCUUGGUAUUGUUUCCUUCUUCAAAUUCCCGCUACAGCCUACACAAACUGCUCACGAACCAAUUACGCAAAAUGCAGAUAGGUGGGAUUUUGUUUCUCCCCUUCAUAUGCUAUGUUCGGUUUUUCAUUGGUGUACAGACUUGCGUUGUUAUGUGCAAGACUGGAUGCUAAUUCUUCUUUCAAUUUUAUUUCAACAAGCUCAACUAAACAACCCAAGAAAAUGCAGCAUGUUUUCCCUUCACUUUCUCAGGAUGACCAUCCCCUCUCGAACAUAUUCCUCAACAGACACACAACCAUCCCGUCAGCUGAUACUUCUGCUGCAUUUCUUGGUCUCCGCCAAGCAAGGUUCGUUUCCCUCUUCUUUAUUUAAGGACGUUUAUUGUCCAACACUCACUCCCUCUCCCAACCUUAACCUUUCCUUUUAAUAAGUUAAAUGUAGCAUAGGUUAGAUUCAGAUAGACAUCACAUUCUCAACGCUUUGUAUGCAGGUCUCCUAUAUACUGCAAUGUUUUCCUCCACCGCCUCAGAACCGUGUUCUGAAACAUGCACGUGCCGUCUUCCAGCCUGGUGCUGAUUAUAUUGCACAAUCAAAUGCUGCUACAGAGUGAUCACCUUCAUGCUUUCUGAUAAUGAAAUUCCAACUAUGUCGUUUCUUUUCUCCUUGACCAUUCCUGCUAAUGUUUUAUGCUUUUUUCUACUUCCUGAUAAUGAAUUGCAUGUCCCCCUGUGUUUCAACCUAAUUCAUCAUCAGUGGUUGUUUCUUGCUUCUUUAUCACAUAUUUCAUUCCAUUGCAGCAUACAUUCUUUUCCCAUUAAUUGAUGCCUGAGAUGAACUCUCCAUGUAGCAAAUGUCAAGCUUUAAAAACUGGGAACAUUGUCUGUUGCCAUUCCCAAGAAUCUAAGGACAGUAGGCAUGCCAAGGUUUCCAACAUUUUCCAUAGCAGUCCCUAUUCAUGCCACCUUCUACGGGUGCGCAUAAUGUAAUCCUGAUCAAUUUUGAGUUUCACGGCAUCGCGCGGUCAUACAAACUAGUAACAUUGAAAGCAUGAUUUGAAGUGUCAGUGGCUAACAGUGAUUGGAUGAUGAAGCUUACAUUUUUAACAUUCAUCUUUGAAGGUUUGCCUCCGUUCCUAAAAUUUGUAUUAUAUAAAAAGAGGCUUUUGUGUGAACAUCGAUUAUCUACGAGUCUUACUUUGUGUUUGUUUGUCAUGCUGCUAGGGUUUAUCUUUGUUUUGUAGAUUCUUUUGAUCCCCAAUGAUUUUCUUCUAUUGAGGUCUUUUGAUGAGCUUCCAAAUUUGGUAUUUUCGG
This 2368-nucleotide long non-coding RNA is filed under the name Linum usitatissimum (flax). RNAcentral describes it as "long non-coding RNA (LUSI_LNC004719)". Lineage: Eukaryota; Viridiplantae; Streptophyta; Magnoliopsida; Malpighiales; Linaceae. The record is from RNAcentral.